UACAGAGAGUGCAAACGUUGUUCGGAAUUACUGGGCUUAAAGCGCACGUAGGCGGUGUCGUAAGUGUCAGGUGAAAUCCCACGGCUCACCCGUGGAACUGCCUGGCAUACUGCGACACUCGAGUGUGGUAGGGGAGAGCGGAACUCCUGGUGGAGCGGUGAAAUGCGUAGAUAUCAGGAGGAACACCGGUGGCGAAGGCGGCUCUCUGGUCCACAACUGACGCUGAGGUGCGAAAGCUAGGGGAGCAAACGGG
RNAcentral lists this ribosomal RNA (253 nucleotides) under uncultured bacterium. Its description in RNAcentral is "partial 16S ribosomal RNA". It matches the Rfam family "Bacterial small subunit ribosomal RNA", at positions 524 to 776 of the family's 1533-position model. The record is from RNAcentral.